This is a non-coding RNA of Phascolarctos cinereus (koala), 1755 nucleotides long. The record is from RefSeq and is a predicted model, not a curated record. NCBI's taxonomy places the organism in Eukaryota, Metazoa, Chordata, Mammalia, Diprotodontia, Phascolarctidae.
UCUGCCUGCUCAUCCUCAUGGAACAGGUGAUCUUCUUUCUCAUUUGAUUCAUUUUUUCUCAUCCCCAUCGCAAGGCAUGAAGAUCAAAGUGAAAAGCGGUCCCCUAAAUACAGUCCCCGGAGAUGACUGGCAACCUCGUUUGCUUCUCACUCUCUCCUAGGAAUGAGUGUCUCAGAAUAACCCUGGCUCUGUACUUCAUACUCUACCAUGUUCAGCCUGCAAGUGAGAAUUUUGGAGAGAAAACACAUUAUCCAUGACAACGGGCUGGACCCCCCAAGUGUUGCUAAGAACCUGCAAACACCUGACAGAGGCCCAAUAUCUGCUUGACAGAACUUUGGCCAGGAGGCCUACACAACUCCCUCAAUCAGAAAGCAAGGGCACAGGAUUAUGGAUCAAGGGUGAAGAGAAGGAAGGGGAAUGGAGAUUAAUAAACCGGAAGAUGAGGACAAUGUCAAUAUAGUUGACCUAGAUUUUGGCAAAGUUUUCGAUAAAGUAUUUCAUGCCAUUCUUGUGGAGAAGAUGAGAAGAGGCUUCUCUUUCUCAGCCUCCCGGACCAUCUGCUCAAUGUCUUCUUUGCUCAGACGACCUUUUUCACUGGUCAUGGUGAUCCUGUUCUCCUUGUCCAUGCUCUUAGCCACGACACACUGAGGAUGCCAUUUGCAUCAAUAUCAAAUGUUGCCUUAAUCUGAGGAACACCCUGGGGUCAGAAGGGAUUCCUGUGAGCUCAAAUUUGCCAAGUAGGUUGCCAUUUUUUGUCAUUGUAAAUUGGCUGAAGGAGCAGUAAGUCUAUGUAGGCAAUAGGUCUGUGUCUCCUUGGGAGGCGUGGUGGUUGAUUAGAAUUGUUAAAACUCCACAAGCAGUUUCAAUAACAAGGGAAAGGGGAGUGCCAUCCAAUAGGAGCAGGUCCUGAACAUUCUCAGAUUUAUCUCCAGACAAAAUGGCAGCCUGAAUAGUUGAAUCAUGGGCAACAGCCUCAUCAGGAUUGCGAUUCUUGUUGAACUUCUUGCUAUUGAAGAAGUCCCGUAGAAGUUUCUGGAUUUUAGGCAUAUGAGUGGAACCACUCACCAAGAUAAUGUCAAUUUAUCUAGUUUGAUCCCUUAGGGUCUUUUCCACAGGGUCUAAUGUGCCACAGAAGAGAUCAACAAUCAGCUUUUCAAAAGGGUCAGAAGUUAUAGAGAUAUAGACAUUGAUACCUUUAUAGAGGGAUUGACCCUAGCCUGGUCCUGUAAGAGAGGGUACUCUUUGUACAUUCAUAAGUGGUGCACAGUUGGUGGACAGCCCUCUUGUUCUCACUGAUGUCCUUGUACUUUCAUCUGAACUCAGCAAUGAAAUGUUUGACCACUUAGUUGUCAAAGUCCUUCCGACCCAAAAGGGUGACCCUACCUGUAGAUUUUACUUCAAAAAUGCCCAUUUUCAAUGGUAAAAUUGGAGACAUUGAAAGUGCUACCUCCGAUGUCAAAGAUCAACAUAUUUCUGUUAGUACUGACCUUUUUGUCCAAGCCAUAAGCAAUAGCAGGAGAGUUGGCUCAUUGAUGAUUCAGAACACAUGGAGACUAGUGAUGGCUCCAGCAUCUUUGGUGGCCUGCUGUUGGAAAUUGUUGAAGUAGGCUGGCACUAAGAUGACAGUAUUCCCAAGGUAAGCUUCGUCAAUUUCAUCUUGGUCAAGACCAUAGAAGAUAUUUCUUCUUGGUCUCUCUUUUGUACUCCACUUGGACCUUAGGCUUGUCUACAUCAUUCACCACCAUGAAAGGUCAA